Molecule: long non-coding RNA, 800 nt
Organism: Myripristis murdjan (pinecone soldierfish)
Lineage: Eukaryota; Metazoa; Chordata; Actinopteri; Holocentriformes; Holocentridae
Exons: 3
Source: RefSeq, a predicted model, not a curated record
AGCUCAUUCAUUCCACCUGUGCCAACUCAGCAGACCAGCAUGUCUUCAAGAAGUUUAAACUAAUGACCGCCACCUUGGAGCUUGUUUGCACCCUUGGUCGGCAGAGUGAAAUUCACGGUGCCAGUUGAUGAAAUAAAGAAGUUGCACCCGUCAGAGACUCCCUGCAUUUCUUCCGUGAGGCCGAGGGCUGCUACAAAAGGGCACCAGUGUGGGCUGCAGGGUUGUACACACAAACUUGUGGUUGUUAGCAAAAAACACAAAGAAAACAUACACAGGUAAUAGAGAGAGUGAGAAAGCUGUGUGGGCGGUUUACUGGAGAAUAUCUGCUUGAUGUGGAAGCCAGAGGCAGUUGUGCUUCUGGGACUCAGGCUCACUCUCUGGCACAUUGUAAAAUCAGCUGUAGUAGGUGUUGCAGAUCGAGAACGGCUCCUCUCUUUACAUGACUGUCACAACAGGUGGAAGUGCAAACAUACAAGGGAGUUAGAGAGAAGCAGAUAGAAAAUGGAUACCACAAAUGUCUGUGUGUGUUUGUGCUAUUUACCCUAAUACCAAACUCACUGAAAGGACAGAGCAGCAGAGGCCUUCGGUCAGGGAAGAGGUCUGCGAACUCAGAGCGGAAGCGGCCAACCAUGGCCAACAGCUUUCUCUCCUGAGCAGAAUUCUCUUUGUAGGAGGCGGGACACUCAUACAUGCCCAAUCCCUUUAUCCAGCUUAGGUUGGUAGAGUGAGGAAUGAGGAACAAUGCAAUGAGGACAAUUUUGAUUAAUAAAUUAAUCCAUCAUCUCAUCAAUAAAGUAAUC